UUCAGUUCUUUACUCUUUUAUCUCCUUCUUCAAAGACGUUAAGGAACCCUAGCGCCGCCCUUAAAUCUCUAACGUUUUCCGGUGGCGGCGGCGCCUCCGAUCAACCCCAAAUUUACACCCCAAGUUCCUCACAACCUCCAUUUUCCCAAUCCCUAACAAGUUUCCCUCGAAUCCUUUGGCAUCUACACAAUUAGAAACUCUAAACCCCAAAAUCAACUUCCAUGGAAUCUGUAGCAUGCAAGGCUAAGGGGGUCGAUUAUGCACGAAGCUGAUGUUGUCCAUUUGUUCUUGACAAGAACACAUGGUUGACAUCAACUUUGGGCUCAAAUAAAGCAAGCCAGAGUCACGAUGAAUCAACUUAAGUAUUUUAUUCUUUUGUUCUUCCUUCUACGGUCUCAUCUUUCUAUUCUCUUUCUCUUUCUUCUACUUCUCUUUAGGUAGUUUCUUCUGUGUAAAAUAUAGCAAAGGUCCAAAUCUGAACCUAAGUUUUCCCUUAGGAUUGAUUUUGUGUUUGUUCCGCUUGCUUUUCAGUUUUCUUUUAAAACUCCAAAAAGUUGUUCAUUGAUUUCGUUUGGUUUAUUCCUCUACAUGUUUAUUUGUUAUUCAUGGCAUUGGAGUUUUCUGAUUUUUGUCCUUCAUAUUAUAGUCGUAAGUUAGUUUAAUUAGAUGUUAUUUUAUUUGGUCAUCUAGCUUAAUUUUAGUUUAUUUACAUUAGCUUAAAAAUUAGUCAAGCCUUUAGUUUUGAAAGCAUUCAGGUGUUUCUUCUUCUGUUUGAAUAAUUGAUUUUUGCUAGGGUUUUGGGGUCAUUUCUGAAUCAUUUUUAAGGGGUAGCCCAUUCAAUUUGAUUUAAGUCUUGGGUCAGAAUUGAUCCAUGUGGUAUGUUGGAGUAGUUGACUGGGUUUUAAGGAUAGUCUAGGGAUUUUUAGUUUAGGGAAUCUUGACUAACUGGCUUAAGAAGCUGCUAAGAAGGUGAGUUUGGAACUUUGUUAAAAAAUAAAUUUUGAAAUAAGGACUAAAUAGCAAAAGAAAAUUAAAAAAGGAUUUUGGAUUUGGACUUUAGGUUUGGUCAUUUGCACUUUUAUUAUCAUAUAUCUGAUUCUCAAUCUUUUGUAAUAUAGACAUAACUUAGAUGAAUAACAUUUAAAGUUGUAUAGUGAUAUUAGGUCAUAGGUCG
This 1174-nucleotide long non-coding RNA is filed under the name Nicotiana benthamiana. RNAcentral describes it as "long non-coding RNA (NBEN_LNC035945)". Lineage: Eukaryota; Viridiplantae; Streptophyta; Magnoliopsida; Solanales; Solanaceae. The record is from RNAcentral.